UGAACGCUGGCGGCGUGCUUAACACAUGCAAGUCGAACGAGGCUUGUCGACGGAAAUUUCGGAUGGAAGACGGCAUGACCGAGUGGCGGACGGGUGAGUAACGCGUGGGGAACCUGCCCCAUUCCGGGGGAUACCAGUUGGAAACGACUGUUAAUACCGCAUAAGCGCACGGGAAGGCAUCUUCCAGUGUGAAAAACUGAGGUGGAAUGGGAUGGCCCCGCGUCUGAUUAGCCAGUUGGCAGGGUAACGGCCUACCAAAGCGACGAUCAGUAGCCGGCCUGAGAGGGCGACCGGCCACAUUGGGACUGAGACACGGCCCAAACUCCUACGGGAGGCAGCAGUGGGGAAUAUUGCACAAUGGGGGGAACCCUGAUGCAGCGAACCGCCGCGUGAGUGAGGAAGUAUUUCGGUAUGUAAAGCUCUAUCAGCAGGGAAGAAGAUGACGGUACCUGCACAAGAAGCCCCGGCUAACUACGUGCCAGCAGCCGC
Molecule: ribosomal RNA, 489 nt
Filed under: uncultured bacterium
Lineage: Bacteria
Description: bacterial SSU rRNA
Rfam family: Bacterial small subunit ribosomal RNA
Source: RNAcentral